Molecule: ribosomal RNA, 1013 nt
Filed under: Klebsiella aerogenes
Lineage: Bacteria; Pseudomonadati; Pseudomonadota; Gammaproteobacteria; Enterobacterales; Enterobacteriaceae
Description: bacterial SSU rRNA
Rfam family: Bacterial small subunit ribosomal RNA
Source: RNAcentral
UGCAGUCGAGCGGUAACACAGAGAGCUUGCUCUCGGGUGACGAGCGGCGGACGGGUGAGUAAUGUCUGGGAAACUGCCUGAUGGAGGGGGAUAACUACUGGAAACGGUAGCUAAUACCGCAUAACGUCGCAAGACCAAAGUGGGGGACCUUCGGGCCUCAUGCCAUCAGAUGUGCCCAGAUGGGAUUAGCUAGUAGGUGGGGUAAUGGCUCACCUAGGCGACGAUCCCUAGCUGGUCUGAGAGGAUGACCAGCCACACUGGAACUGAGACACGGUCCAGACUCCUACGGGAGGCAGCAGUGGGGAAUAUUGCACAAUGGGCGCAAGCCUGAUGCAGCCAUGCCGCGUGUAUGAAGAAGGCCUUCGGGUUGUAAAGUACUUUCAGCGAGGAGGAAGGCNUUAAGGUUAAUAACCUUGGUGAUUGACGUUACUCGCAGAAGAAGCACCGGCUAACUCCGUGCCAGCAGCCGCGGUAAUACGGAGGGUGCAAGCGUUAAUCGGAAUUACUGGGCGUAAAGCGCACGCAGGCGGUCUGUCAAGUCGGAUGUGAAAUCCCCGGGCUCAACCUGGGAACUGCAUUCGAAACUGGCAGGCUAGAGUCUUGUAGAGGGGGGUAGAAUUCCAGGUGUAGCGGUGAAAUGCGUAGAGAUCUGGAGGAAUACCGGUGGCGAAGGCGGCCCCCUGGACAAAGACUGACGCUCAGGUGCGAAAGCGUGGGGAGCAAACAGGAUUAGAUACCCUGGUAGUCCACGCCGUAAACGAUGUCGACUUGGAGGUUGUGCCCUUGAGGCGUGGCUUCCGGAGCUAACGCGUUAAGUCGACCGCCUGGGGAGUACGGCCGCAAGGUUAAAACUCAAAUGAAUUGACGGGGGCCCGCACAAGCGGUGGAGCAUGUGGUUUAAUUCGAUGCAACGCGAAGAACCUUACCUACUCUUGACAUCCAGAGAACUUAGCANAGAUGCUUUGGUGCCUUCGGGAACUCUGAAACAGGUGCUGCAUGGCUGNCGUCAGCUC